RNAcentral lists this ribosomal RNA (465 nucleotides) under uncultured bacterium. RNAcentral describes it as "partial 16S ribosomal RNA". It matches the Rfam family "Bacterial small subunit ribosomal RNA", at positions 28 to 507 of the family's 1533-position model. The record is from RNAcentral.
GACGAACGCUGGCGGCGUGCUUAACACAUGCAAGUCGUACGGUAAGGCCCUUUCGGGGGUACACGAGUGGCGCACGGGUGAGUAACACGUGAGUAACCUGCCCACAACUUUGGGAUAACGCUAGGAAACUGGUGCUAAUACUGGAUAUGUGCUCCUGCUGCAUGGUGGGGGUUGGAAAGCUCCGGCGGUUGUGGAUGGACUCGCGGCCUAUCAGCUUGUUGGUGGGGUAGUGGCCUACCAAGGCGGCGACGGGUAGCCGGCCUGAGAGGGUGACCGGCCACAUUGGGACUGAGAUACGGCCCAGACUCCUACGGGAGGCAGCAGUGGGGAAUAUCGCACAAUGGGCGCAAGCCUGAUGCAGCAACGCCGCGUGCGGGAUGACGGCCUUCGGGUUGUAAACCGCUUUCAGCAGGGACGAAGCUUUUUGUGACGGUACCUGCAGAAGAAGCACCGGCUAACUACGUG